CGCUAGCUACAGGCUUAACACAUGCAAGUCGAGGGGCAGCAUUUUAGUUUGCUUGCAAACUGAAGAUGGCGACCGGCGCACGGGUGAGUAACACGUAUCCAACCUGCCGAUAACUCCGGAAUAGCCUUUCGAAAGAAAGAUUAAUACCGGAUAGCAUACGAAUAUCGCAUGAUAUUUUUAUUAAAGAAUUUCGGUUAUCGAUGGGGAUGCGUUCCAUUAGUUUGUUGGCGGGGUAACGGCCCACCAAGACUACGAUGGAUAGGGGUUCUGAGAGGAAGGUCCCCCACAUUGGAACUGAGACACGGUCCAAACUCCUACGGGAGGCAGCAGUGAGGAAUAUUGGUCAAUGGGCGAGAGCCUGAACCAGCCAAGUAGCGUGAAGGAUGAAGGCUCUAUGGGUCGUAAACUUCUUUUAUAUGGGAAUAAAGUUUUCCACGUGUGGAAUUUUGUAUGUACCAUAUGAAUAAGGAUCGGCUAACUCCGUGCCAGCAGCCGCGGUAAUACGGAGGAUCCGAGCGUUAUCCGGAUUUAUUGGGUUUAAAGGGAGCGUAGGUGGAUUGUUAAGUCAGUUGUGAAAGUUUGCGGCUCAACCGUAAAAUUGCAGUUGAAACUGGCAGUCUUGAGUACAGUAGAGGUGGGCGGAAUUCGUGGUGUAGCGGUGAAAUGCUUAGAUAUCACGAAGAACUCCGAUUGCGAAGGCAGCUCACUAGACUGUCACUGACACUGAUGCUCGAAAGUGUGGGUAUCAAACAGGAUUAGAUACCCUGGUAGUCCACACAGUAAACGAUGAAUACUCGCUGUUUGCGAUAUACAGUAAGCGGCCAAGCGAAAGCAUUAAGUAUUCCACCUGGGGAGUACGCCGGCAACGGUGAAACUCAAAGGAAUUGACGGGGGCCCGCACAAGCGGAGGAACAUGUGGUUUAAUUCGAUGAUACGCGAGGAACCUUACCCGGGCUUAAAUUGCAACAGAAUAUAUUGGAAACAGUAUAGCCGUAAGGCUGUUGUGAAGGUGCUGCAUGGUUGUCGUCAGCUCGUGCCGUGAGGUGUCGGCUUAAGUGCCAUAACGAGCGCAACCCUUAUCUUUAGUUACUAACAGGUUAUGCUGAGGACUCUAGAGAGACUGCCGUCGUAAGAUGUGAGGAAGGUGGGGAUGACGUCAAAUCAGCACGGCCCUUACGUCCGGGGCUACACACGUGUUACAAUGGGGGGUACAGAAGGCGGCUACCUGGUGACAGGAUGCUAAUCCCAAAAGCCUCUCUCAGUUCGGAUCGAAGUCUGCAACCCGACUUCGUGAAGCUGGAUUCGCUAGUAAUCGCGCAUCAGCCACGGCGCGGUGAAUACGUUCCCGGGCCUUGUACACACCGCCCGUCAAGCCAUGGGAGCCGGGGGUACCUGAAGUACGUAACCGCAAGGAUCGUCCUAGGGUAAAACUGGUGACUGG
Molecule: ribosomal RNA, 1441 nt
Filed under: uncultured organism
Description: SSU rRNA
Rfam family: Bacterial small subunit ribosomal RNA
Source: RNAcentral